This is a non-coding RNA of Peromyscus maniculatus bairdii (prairie deer mouse), 497 nucleotides long. Lineage: Eukaryota; Metazoa; Chordata; Mammalia; Rodentia; Cricetidae. The record is from RefSeq and is a predicted model, not a curated record.
GCUUCCUUGGAAAGAAUCCAUGUUCUCUACAUCCCACCCAUUUCAAGAAUACAGAAAGGCCUAUGGAGAUGGCUCUGUAGGGCUGGAGCACCGGCGGCGAGGCAGCACAUGGGGGGCAGAUGGAAAGGAGCUUAGAGGACUGAAAUCUCGCCAGCCCUUUCCUGGAACUCCGGAGACUGAGAUGAGCAAGGAGGCACAUGUGAGCUCCAGAUCCAUCAGAGACAGACACCACUCCACUGUGGACACAAGGCCAGGACUCACCCAGUGACUCCCAGGGAGGUGGUACUUGGCACAAAAGAAGGGCAUACAGUCCUGGGCAUCCACAGACCCUGGGGAGGUGAAGUCAAUUGCUGAUCUUGCAGAGCUGUUCUUUACAUGUCUCCAAAGAGGGGCAGCCUAAGCAACCUCGGGUCUCUCUCAGCACUGAAUCUAUGUGAAAUCACCCCUCCUCUCCAGCAUCCCCAGCAUUCCCCAAUGUCCUGCUUUGCCUGAAUUCU